GUGAGCUAGCAGCAGCUAACCAGCACAUUUGACCCUGUGUGUGCUAUGAUGAACUAGACAUCCGGGCUGUGUGUAUGGAAGAUGGCGACACUUAUCCUCCCUGGUGAAUGGAUCAAAAACUGGGAAAAAUCAGGAAAACACGAAUUUGUACAACUCUGCAAAGAGCUCACGGAAAAAACAGAUCAUGGAAGUGAGGUUAGAGAUAUACAGGCUGCCUUAUACGAGCUUUGCUGGCAGGUUGUACAAGGGAACCUGAAGUUGGAUCUCGUUGCCAGCGUCCUUGGGGACAUGAUGGAACUCAGAGAUGACAUGCCAUCAAUUUUAGCAGAUGUGUUCAGUAUACUAGAUUUAGAGACUGGUGCGCUGGAAGAGAAAAACAAACGUGACCAUUACACACAACUAGUGGGAGCAUGUUUGUUCUUUGUUCCAGAGGCCAUCCUGAAGGAGAGGCUCGAUCCAGAAACCCUUGAAUCUCUUGGACUCAUAAAGCAAGCCCAUCAGUUUAAUCAGAAGAUUGUAAAAAUCAAGACUAAACUAUUUUAUAAACAACAGAAGUUCAACUUGCUAAGGGAGGAGAACGAGGGCUACGGCAAACUAAUCACUGAGCUCGGCCAGGACCUCUCUGGCAACAUCACCAGCCACGUCGUUCUGGAGAGCAUAAAGUCCCUCAUAGGAUGUUUUAACUUGGACCCUAACCGUGUUCUGGACAUUAUCUUGGAGGUGUAUGAGAGCAGAUCUGACCAGGAUGAGUUUUUCCUGUCUCUCAUCAAAUCAUACAUGUGUGAGCCGCUUACUCUUUGCCACAUCCUGGGCUUCAAGUUCAAGUUCUACCAGGAGCCAAGCGAGGAAACUCCCAAGUCACUUUACCACAUCGCUGCUGCUCUGCUUCACCAUAACCUGAUAGAGCUGGAAGAUCUCUACGUACAUCUCAUGCCACUAGAUGCCGCCAUCAUAGAGGAACACAAACGAGAUAUCUCCGAUGCCAAGCAGAUUGCCCGCAAACUGGUCAUGGUUGUGUUGCCUUCGGAGAAAAAUGAGGACAAAGACAAGGAGAAGGAAAAAGAGGAGGAAAAGAAUGAAAAGGCUCCUGAUAACCAGAAGCUCGGUCUGUUGGAGGCGCUGCUUAGAAUCGGAGACUGGCACCACGCCCAGAGUAUUAUGGACCAGAUGCCUUCCUUCUAUGCAGCUUCUCACAAGGCCAUCGCGCUGGCUCUCUGCCAGCUCGUGCACCUGACUGUUGAGCCUCUUUACAGAAGAGCGGGCCUCCCAAAAGGGGCACGUGGAUGUGUGCUGCAGCCACUGAGGAGCAAGCGGGCCCCUCGGCCUGCUGAGACCUUUGAGGACCUUCGCAGGGACACUUUCAGCAUGCUCGGCUACCUGGGCCCUCACCUCUCUCACGACCCCAUCCUCUUUGCCAAGAUUGUGCGUCUUGGGAAGGGCUUCAUGAAAGAGAACCAAAGUGAUGGCAGAGCUGACUACAAAGACAAAAUGGACACACUGUUGAGUUGUUUCCUGAGCAUUGCAGACCAGGUGCUACUCCCUGCUAUCUCUCUGAUGGAGUGUAAUGCUUGCAUGUCUGAGGAGCUGUGGGGUCUCUUUAAACUCUUUCCCUACCAUCACAGGUAUCGGUUAUAUGGACAGUGGAAGAAUGAGACAUACUCCAGCCAUCCACUGUUGGUUAAAGUCAAAGCUCAAACAGUGGAACGGGCCAAAUACAUUAUGAAGCGGUUGACCAAAGAGAAUGUGAAACAAUCUGGAAGGCAGAUUGGCAAACUGAGCCACAGCAAUCCCACCAUCCUGUUUGAUUAUAUGCUGUCUCAGAUCCAGUGGUACGACAACCUCAUCGUUCCCGUGGUGGAUUCUUUAAAAUACCUCACAUCCCUCAACUAUGAUGUCCUGGCCUAUUGCAUCAUUGAGGCUCUGGCCAACCCUGAGAAGGAGAAGAUGAAGCAUGACGACACCACCAUCUCCUCGUGGCUUCAGAGUCUGGCAAGUCUGUGUGGAGCCGUGUUCAGAAAAUACCCGAUCGAGCUGGCUGGCCUUCUUCAGUAUGUCACCAAUCAGCUGAAGGCAGGGAAGAGUUUUGACCUUUUGAUAAUGAAAGAGGUGGUGCAGAAAAUGGCCGGCAUUGAGAUCACUGAUGAGAUGACCUCCGAGCAGUUAGAGGCCAUGACUGGAGGGGAGCAACUCAAAGCCGAGGGUGGCUACUUUGGCCAAAUCAGGAACACUAAGAAGUCUUCACAGCGUCUGAAGGAUGCCCUGCUGGACCAUGAACUGGCCCUGCCUUUGUGUUUACUCAUGGCCCAGCAACGAAAUGGUGUCGUUUUCUUAGAAGGUGGAGAGAAACACCUCAAACUUGUGGGCCACCUCUAUGAUCAGUGUCAUGACACUUUGGUGCAGUUUGGGGGCUUUUUGGCCUCCAACUUGAGCACAGAGGACUACAUCAAGCGGGUUCCCUCCAUUGACAUCCUUUGUAACCAGUUCCACACUCCACAUGACGCUGCCUUCUUCCUAUCUCGGCCGAUGUAUGCACACCAGAUUUUGUCGAAGUAUGAUGAACUGAAGAAAGCAGAAAAGGGCAACAGGCAGCAGCAGAAGGUGCACAAGUAUGUUGCAGCGUGCGAACAGGUGAUGACCCCGGUCCAUGAGGCGGUGGUGUCCCUACAUCCAGCCAGAGUGUGGGACGACCUCCGACCUCAGUUCUACGCCACGUUCUGGUCCCUCACGAUGUACGACCUGGCCGUUCCAAAUGCUGCGUACGAUCGUGAGGUCAACAAGCUCAAGGUUCAGAUCAAGGCCAUCGAGGAGAACCCAGAGAUACCCAUGAAUAAGAAAAAGAAGGAGAAGGAACGCUGCACUGCCCUGCAGGAGAAACUGCAGGAGGAGGAGAAGAAGCAAGCGGAGCACGUUCAACGGGUUCUACACCGCCUCAAGCUAGAGAAAGACAACUGGUUGUUGGCCAAAUCCACAAAGAACGAGACGAUAACAAAGUUCCUGCAGCUCUGUCUGUUCCCUCGCUGCAUCUUCUCCUCCAUCGACGCUGUGUACUGUGCCCGCUUUGUUGAGCUAGUCCACCAGCAGAAGACACCCAACUUCUGCACCCUCCUGUGCUACGACAGGGUGUUCUCUGCCAUCAUUUACACGGUGGCCAGCUGUACGGAGAACGAGUCUCACCGCUAUGGACGCUUCCUCUGCUGCAUGCUGGAGACGGUGACUCGAUGGCACAGCGACCGAGCCACCUAUGAGAAGGAGUGCGUUAAUUACCCUGGCUUCCUGACCAUCUUCAGAGCCACCGGCUUUGAUGGAGGGAACAAAGCAGAUCAGCUUGAUUAUGAGAACUUCAGGCAUGUCGUGCACAAGUGGCACUACAUGCUGACAAAAGCUUCAGUUCACUGCCUGGAGACGGGAGAUUACACCCACAUCCGCAAUAUUCUCAUCGUGCUCACAAAGAUCCUGCCCUGCUACCCCAAGGUCCUGAACCUAGGCCAAGCCCUGGAGUGUCGAGUCCACAAGAUCUGCCUCGAGGAGAAGGACAAGAGGCCCGACCUCUAUGCCUUAGCAAUGGGUUAUUCGGGUCGAUUGAAAAGCCAGAAGGUGCACAUGGUCCCUGAGAACGAGUUUCACCACAAGGAGCAGCCAGCGCGCAGUGCCACCCCUGCCAGCCAACAGAACGGUCCAAGCAGCACUGGAAAGCCGGCCAGCACCUCGAGCAAGACAGAGGAGGGGACGCCAGAGGACGGAGAUCGGAGCAAGGAUAAAUCUCAGGGGACUACAAAGCCAGUGAACAAAACCAACAGUGCAGCGGCCAAAGUGACCACCAGCAAUGGGAACGGUGCUCUCAACAGCACCAAAGCCGUGAAAGACCGGGACGACAAAGAGAAGAGCGGGAAGGACAAGAAAGAGAAAAAGGAAAAGACACCAGGCAGCACUCCUGAGACAAAGGCGGAGAACCGGCGGGAAAAGCAGAGAGACGAAAGAGCGGGGAAGGAGGAGCGGGCGGCACGUGAGGGUAAGGAGAAGACCCCCAAGGCAGACAGGGAGAAAGUGAAAGCUGAGGAGAAGAGCAGCAAAGACGAGAAGGCCAAAGCCGGCAACGGGGAGCCAGUGGAGCCGUCCAGGGAGCGCGACGCCAUCAAGGAGUCCAAGAGCAAGGAGAAAGGAGACCGGAGUGCUGCGGCUGGGUCCCUCAAGUCACCAGUUCCCAGAUCAGAGUCAGCCGAAUCCGAGAGGGAUCACAAAAGACGAAAGCUCGACAGCCACUCUUCUCCUUCCCACUCGUCGUCUGUUAAGGACAAUAACAACGAACCCAAGGAUUCCACAUCCAAGCACCACCCCAACUACAAUUCAGUAGCCCGGUCCAAGAGCAGAGAGAGGGAGCAGGAGAAGAAAGAGUCAGACAACACACAAGGCCGAUCCAAAGAGAAGAAAGAAGAGAAGGAUCGAAAAGAAAGGAAACGAGACCACGCUGUCAAUGAUCGUGAGGCGAGCCAAGAAACCAAACGUAAAAAGGACGAGAACGGAACCAAUUCCUCCAAAAACAGCAAGAGCACGAGUCCCACCUGUGACUCCCCGCUUUCAGCUGACAAAGAGAAGAGCAAAAGAUCCAAAUCUUCGAGUAAAGAGAAGGCAGAUUCUGUGAAACCUGAGCGGACGUCCUCUGGAGGGAAAAAGGAGUCUCGACAUGACAAAGAGAAAUCUGAGAAGAAAGAGAAAAGGGACAGCAGCGGUGGAAAGGAAGAGAAAAAGCAAUAUCCUACAAAGUGAUGCCUUGAUCUUAUCUCUGGUGAUACUCAUAAAUCUUCUGACAAGCACAGAUAAUGUGCACUGCUCAGUGAAGAACUGGAGAAGCUGUGUUUUUAUCUGCGGGACACCUGCAGCUCCACCUGCACUCUGUUCUCUCUCAUUUUGCCUGUGUUGUUUUGCUGUAAAGUCCCCUCCCAAAUGUUGUUAGCUGUAGUUAUCUGAACGUACAGAUUCACCUCAUUAUUUUUUCCAUUUCAGUAUACAGCAAACCAAUGGAAACCAGUUUGUUUUUUGUUUCUCUUUUAUUAUCCAAUACAGGCACAAUGUGCUGCUAUGAUCACAUGGUUACUAUUGUUCUGAGUAGAGAAGUGGUUACUGUAUGAAAUUAUCUCUUGGUGACAGCCGGUCAUCCAUCCAAUAAUCUCAUGCUUGAAAAAUUUGUAUUUUUGUAUGUUGUCAGGCUUUUUGCUCGUUUAAUUGGAUUUAACACACUUUCCAUAUUCACUUACCUUCUAUCCUUUUUGAGAUAUUUAGAUACUUUUAUUUAUUUAUCUCCACCUUUUAAUCCCCGUUAGGCAGUAGGCGUGAGUGACAAAACUGAAACAAAGGACCAGUUUGUAUAUUGUGUACAAUAAUAAAGAGAGUAACAUGAAAUUCACAUCAUGUUAUUUCUUCUUUUUUUUUUUUUCAAUGUCCCUUUGUGAUUUUGUGUUAAUCAGGUUUUUACAUAAUUUAUAAAAAUGCCAGUUCGACCUUGACUCAAAUGUUGAAUUGUAAUGAAGUCAGACAAAAAAAAAAUCUGAAUCUCUGUACUCCAAAUCCAUCUGUUUAGAAAUGAUUUUUGGAGAUUUUAUCUGCUGUACUCAAUGAGUGUAAGCUUUUUAAAGAAACAAAACAAAAACCAAUAAAUAAUAGUUUUCCUAGUGUGUCACUUUGA
Labrus mixtus (cuckoo wrasse) is the source of this 5680-nucleotide RNA transcript. It is a transcript of the gene named THO complex 2, with no coding region annotated. The transcript is spliced from 39 exons. Lineage: Eukaryota; Metazoa; Chordata; Actinopteri; Labriformes; Labridae. The record is from RefSeq and is a predicted model, not a curated record.